Molecule: ribosomal RNA, 449 nt
Filed under: uncultured bacterium
Lineage: Bacteria
Description: partial 16S ribosomal RNA
Rfam family: Bacterial small subunit ribosomal RNA
Source: RNAcentral
AACGAACGCUGGCGGCAUGCCUAACACAUGCAAGUCGAACGAGAUCUUCGGGUCUAGUGGCGCACGGGUGCGUAACGCGUGGGAAUCUGCCCUUUGGUUCGGAAUAACAGUUGGAAACGACUGCUAAUACCGGAUGAUGACGAAAGUCCAAAGAUUUAUCGCCAGAGGAUGAGCCCGCGUAGGAUUAGCUAGUUGGUGUGGUAAAGGCGCACCAAGGCGACGAUCCUUGGCUGGUCUGAGAGGAUGAUCAGCCACACGGGGACGAAGCCACGGCCCACACUCCUACGGGAGGCAGCGGUGGGGAAUAUUGGACAAUGGGCGAAAGCCUGAUCCAGCAAUGCCGCUUGAGGGAUGAAGGCCUUAGGGUUGUAAAGCUCUUCUACCCGGGAUGAUAAUGACAGUACCGGGAGAAUAAGCUCCGGCUAACUCCGUGCCAGCCGCCGCGGUAA